RNAcentral lists this transfer RNA (84 nucleotides) under Nocardioides anomalus. RNAcentral describes it as "Nocardioides sp. R-3366 tRNA-Gly". The record is from RNAcentral. Lineage: Bacteria; Bacillati; Actinomycetota; Actinomycetes; Propionibacteriales; Nocardioidaceae.
GCCCCCAUCGUCGAGCGGGCGGGUCCUCAGAGACCCCGCCCUCCCACGGCGGUAGCACGGGUUCGGAUCCCGUGGGGGGUGCCA